This 491-nucleotide ribosomal RNA is filed under the name uncultured bacterium. RNAcentral describes it as "bacterial SSU rRNA". It matches the Rfam family "Bacterial small subunit ribosomal RNA", at positions 36 to 518 of the family's 1533-position model. The record is from RNAcentral.
CUGGCGGCGUGCUUAACACACGCAAGUCGAACGGAGUGGAACGCUGAAUUGAUGUCAGCUUGCUGAUGGAUUUCUGUUCACUUAGUGGCGGACGGGUGAGUAACGCGUGAGUAACCUGCCUCUCAGUGGGGAAUAACGCCCUGAAAAGAGCGCUAAUACCGCAUAAUAUAUUUUUGCCGCAUGACAGGAAUAUCAAAGAUUUAUCGCUGAGAGAUGGACUCGCGUCCGAUUAGCUUGUUGGUGGGGUAACGGCCCACCAAGGCGACGAUCGGUAGCCGGACUGAGAGGUUGAACGGCCACAUUGGGACUGAGACACGGCCCAGACUCCUACGGGAGGCAGCAGUGGGGGAUAUUGCGCAAUGGGGGGAAACCCUGACGCAGCAACGCCGCGUGGAGGAUGACGGUUUUCGGAUUGUAAACUCCUUUUAUAAGGGACGAACUAAGACGGUACCUUAUGAAUAAGCUCCGGCUAACUACGUGCCAGCCGCCGC